GGGAGCCGGAGGGAAACCGAGUCUUAAUUGGGCGUUAAGUUGCAGGGUAUAGACCCGAAACCCGGUGAUCUAGCCAUGGGCAGGUUGAAGGUUGGGUAACACUAACUGGAGGACCGAACCGACUAAUGUUGAAAAAUUAGCGGAUGACCUGUGGCUGGGGGUGAAAGGCCAAUCAAACCGGGAGAUAGCUGGUUCUCCCCGAAAGCUAUUUAGGUAGCGCCUCGUGAAUUCAUCUCCGGGGGUAGAGCACUGUUUCGGCUAGGGGGCCAUCCCGGCUUACCAACCCGAUGCAAACUGCGAAUACCGGAGAAUGUUAUCACGGGAGACACACGGCGGGUGCUAACGUCCGUCGUGAAGAGGGAAACAACCCAGACCGCCAGCUAAGGUCCCAAAGUCAUGGUUAAGUGGGAAACGAUGUGGGAAGGCCCAGACAGCCAGGAUGUUGGCUUAGAAGCAGCCAUCAUUUAAAGAAAGCGUAAUAGCUCACUGGUCGAGUCGGCCUGCGCGGAAGAUGUAACGGGGCUAAACCAUGCACCGAAGCUGCGGCAGCGACGCUUAUGCGU
RNAcentral lists this ribosomal RNA (563 nucleotides) under Salmonella enterica. Its description in RNAcentral is "partial 23S ribosomal RNA". It matches the Rfam family "Bacterial large subunit ribosomal RNA", at positions 661 to 1221 of the family's 2925-position model. Lineage: Bacteria; Pseudomonadati; Pseudomonadota; Gammaproteobacteria; Enterobacterales; Enterobacteriaceae. The record is from RNAcentral. RNAcentral also lists the same sequence under 2 other names.